RNAcentral lists this unclassified non-coding RNA (545 nucleotides) under Hevea brasiliensis (rubber tree). The record is from RNAcentral. Lineage: Eukaryota; Viridiplantae; Streptophyta; Magnoliopsida; Malpighiales; Euphorbiaceae.
AGUUAUUUCAGCAGCAUUCAUUGCGUUAGGAAGAUCUUGUUUGUUAGCAAAUACUAGAAGCACAGCAUCCCGAAGUUCAUCCUCGUUCAACAUCCUAUGCAAUUCAUCUCUUGCUUCUACAACACGGUCUCUAUCAUUGCUAUCAACCACAAAAAUGAGACCCUGAGUGUUCUGGAAAUAGUGCCUCCACAAUGGACGGAUCUUGUCUUGACCCCCGACAUCCCAAACGGUGAAGCUGAUGUUCUUGUAUUCAACAGUUUCCACAUUGAAACCAAUAGUUGGAAUGGUGGUGACGAUUUCUCCCAGCUUGAGCUUGUACAAUAUGGUGGUUUUACCAGCUGCAUCAAGACCAACCAUCAGAAUACGCAUCUCCUUCUUGGCAAACAACCGGCUGAAAAGCUUCCCGAAUGAUAAACCCAUCUUUUUUUCAAUGCAAUGAUGAAGAAGGAAUCACAGAGAGAGAGAGGGGGGGCAGUAGAUCUAGAAAAAACUGCCCUUUGUAUAUAAUUGACAAGAAAUGGGAACCUUUGGAUGUUCUCUUGUUG